This 67-nucleotide transfer RNA is filed under the name Neobenedenia melleni. RNAcentral describes it as "tRNA-Phe". The record is from RNAcentral. Lineage: Eukaryota; Metazoa; Platyhelminthes; Monogenea; Capsalidea; Capsalidae.
UUUUCUUUAGCUUAAAAUAUAGAGCAUCAAUUUGAAGCGUUGAGGGUACUUUUAUUAGUAGGAAGAA